UUUAUUAUAGGAUUAUAGUUUAAAUAAAACAUUUGAUUUGCAUUCAAAUAAUAUUGAAAUUCAAUUUAUCUUA
RNAcentral lists this transfer RNA (73 nucleotides) under Junonia iphita (chocolate pansy). Its description in RNAcentral is "tRNA-Ala". The stretch from base 9 to 73 matches the Rfam family "tRNA". Rfam says of the family: Transfer RNA (tRNA) molecules are approximately 80 nucleotides in length. Their secondary structure includes four short double-helical elements and three loops (D, anti-codon, and T loops). Lineage: Eukaryota; Metazoa; Arthropoda; Insecta; Lepidoptera; Nymphalidae. The record is from RNAcentral.